AAUUAAAUUAGUAUUUGACUUUUUAAUCCUUAAAGAGAUAAAUUAAUUUACUCUUUAAAAUUUUAUUUCUAAUGGCAUACCUAUAUAAUUACUUACAAAAAUUAAGGUUACAUUUAAAAUGUACUUCCCAAAUAAUAUAGUAGGAUAUUUUCUACUUUUUCUUUAUUUUUAGUUUCUCGUCGUGCGAAUUGUCACGCACUAAAGCACAUUACAUUGUUACUACCUGAACU
This 230-nucleotide small RNA is filed under the name Arabidopsis thaliana (thale cress). Its description in RNAcentral is "ATSL175990". The record is from RNAcentral. Lineage: Eukaryota; Viridiplantae; Streptophyta; Magnoliopsida; Brassicales; Brassicaceae.